CACUCUGGCUGCUGUAGUUUUCUGAGCAGUGGAAGUUAAAAGGAUUAGGAAGCAAGAAUUCUCAACAGAAGGAAGAGACUCCAGCUUCUCUUCUGCCAUCCUCUCAUCACUGGACUAAUUCAAUGUGACAAACUUCCUGAGGAUGCCCACUUUGAACAAGGACAGAUGUACCAAUGUCCAAUAUUCCCAUCCCUCCAGCAAGAACUGAAGGAUUUCUUAUGGGUACUUCACUGUCAGGCUACUAAUGACAUCAGCCACAAUCUGAUAUGCAAUAGACCUGGACAGAAUUCUGAAACAUGUAGAGAAGUCAAUGUGUCUCUGCAAGCCUGCCAAAUUCACAGUACAGCAAAGAUACAAAUGUUGUCAAGUUUCUCAGAGAGUUGUAGCCUCCAACUUCCUUUAUACCUACUCUGCCAGGAGGGUCCUUGGCUCCUGUCUGAUUCCUCUGAAGCCCUGAC
RNAcentral lists this long non-coding RNA (458 nucleotides) under Cricetulus griseus (Chinese hamster). RNAcentral's name for it is "lncRNA (ENSCGRG00015034397.1)". Lineage: Eukaryota; Metazoa; Chordata; Mammalia; Rodentia; Cricetidae. The record is from RNAcentral.